CCGUAGCGGUCCUGACGUGCAAAUCGGUCGUCCGACCCGGGUAUAGGGGCGAAAGACUAAUCGAACCAUCUAGUAGCUGGUUCCCUCCGAAGUUUCCCUCAGGAUAGCUGGCACUCGCGGGCGGCAGUUUUACCCGGUAAAGCGAAUGAUUAGAGGUCUUGGGGCCGAAACGAUCUCAACCUAUUCUCAAACUUUCAAUGGGUAAGACGCCCGGCUCGCUGGCGUGGAGCCGGGCCG
Molecule: non-coding RNA, 237 nt
Filed under: Struthio camelus australis
Lineage: Eukaryota; Metazoa; Chordata; Aves; Struthioniformes; Struthionidae
Description: Eukaryotic large subunit ribosomal RNA
Rfam family: Eukaryotic large subunit ribosomal RNA
Source: Rfam by way of RNAcentral